This 125-nucleotide microRNA precursor is filed under the name Hordeum vulgare. Its description in RNAcentral is "microRNA MIR1122". It matches the Rfam family "MIR1120/MIR1122 microRNA precursor family". Lineage: Eukaryota; Viridiplantae; Streptophyta; Magnoliopsida; Poales; Poaceae. The record is from RNAcentral.
AUUAUACUCCCUCCGUCCGGAAAUACUUGUCAUAAGAAUGGAUGUAUCUAGAUGUAUUUUAGUUCUAGAUACAUCCAUUUUUAUUCACUUGUGCGACAAGUAAUUCCGGAAGGAGGGAGUAUUUG